AAACCGGAGGAAGGUGGGGAUGACGUCAAGUCAUCAUGGCCCUUACGGCCUGGGCUACACACGUGCUACAAUGGUCGGUACAAAGGGUUGCCAAGCCGCGAGGUGGAGCUAAUCCCAUAAAACCGAUCGUAGUCCGGAUCGCAGUCUGCAACUCGACUGCGUGAAGUCGGAAUCGCUAGUAAUCGUGAAUCAGAAUGUCACGGUGAAUACGUUCCCGGGCCUU
This 223-nucleotide ribosomal RNA is filed under the name uncultured Pseudomonas sp. RNAcentral's name for it is "partial 16S ribosomal RNA". It matches the Rfam family "Bacterial small subunit ribosomal RNA", at positions 1160 to 1382 of the family's 1533-position model. Lineage: Bacteria; Pseudomonadati; Pseudomonadota; Gammaproteobacteria; Pseudomonadales; Pseudomonadaceae. The record is from RNAcentral.